Molecule: ribosomal RNA, 505 nt
Filed under: uncultured bacterium
Lineage: Bacteria
Description: partial 16S ribosomal RNA
Rfam family: Bacterial small subunit ribosomal RNA
Source: RNAcentral
GACGAACGCUGGCGGCGUGCCUAAUACAUGCAAGUAGAACGCACAGUUUAUACCGUAGCUUGCUACACCAUAGACUGUGAGUUGCGAACGGGUGAGUAACGCGUAGGUAACCUGCCUGGUAGCGGGGGAUAACUAUUGGAAACGCUAGCUAAUACCGCAUAAUAUUGAUUAUUGCAUGAUACUUGAUUGAAAGAUGCUAUUGCAUCACUACCAGAUGGACCUGCGGUGUAUUAGCUAGUAGGUGAGGUAACGGCGCACCUAGGCGACGAUACAUAGACGACCUGAGAGGGUGAUCGGCCACACUGGGACUGAGACAAGGCCCAGAAUCCUACGGGAGGGAGCAGUAGGGAAUCUUCGGCAAUGGACGAAAGUCUGACCGAGCAACGCCGCGGGAGUGAAGAAGGUUUUCGGAUCGUAAAGCUCUGUUGUAAGAGAAGAACGGGUGUGAGAGUGGAAAGUUCACACUGUGACGGUAUCUUACCAGAAAGGGACGGCUAACUACGUG